AGGUAUGGGAGCUACAUCUGAUAGUCUCAGAGGUUGACAUAGACUAGCAGGGGAAUAAAUGGGAGUGGAAGUGGGGUUUAGCUGGCCUUGACCCCUGUCCAGGGUCUGUAGAGGCAUGUCUGCAAGAGCAGGAGAUGGAGGCCUAAGGAUUGGGGGUACUGGCCUUCUGAUAUCUGUGGAUCAGUCAGCAUUGUCCAGGGUAGACCAAAGGUCAGGGCCAGGGGGUCCUGGGAUGGAAAGUCUGGCAGGUGAGAAUACCUUGGCUUGGGCACGUGGGGUCCCUAUCCUGGGGGUCGUCCAGGGGUGCCAAGCUUCAUGGCUCUGUGAGACCAGUGCCUUCUGGAACAGCCUUUUGGUCUCAGUUGUACACAUAGGAGAGCAGUGCCAGGCUCCUGGGUUCUUUUAUCACCUGCCCUAGGGUGUCAUCCUGGGUCUUAAGACUAUUAUUGCACUCUGGAGUCUGGGGCCCUGCUGUUAGGGUGCUCUAUGUAUGCCUCCCUCAGCAGGGCUUUGGAACUUGGAAGAGAUUGAGAGGCAGAGUCAGCCCCUGGGACAGAAUAGGUAAUAGCCAGUUCCGGGGGCCACCCAAGGACAAGUGAGUCAGGGGCCCUGUAGGGCUCAUUCUGCCUUUUGCAACUUUCUAACUAGGAGCGGAAGCUGUGUGCCCAUCCUCGGCUGGAGAUUUACCAGCAAGACCAGAUCCAUUUCAUGUGCCCACUAGCACGGCAGGGAGAUUUCUAUGUUCCUGAGGCGAAGAAGACAGAGCAGAAAUGGCGGGGGCUUGCAGAGGCCAUUGAUGCCCAGGAGCUGACACGAUGAGUGACACGAUGAGUUCCGUAAGCUUGGAGGUGAGCCCUGGCAGCCGGGAGACUUCAGUUGCCACACUGUCACCGGGGGCGAGCAGCCGUGGCUGGGAUGAUGGUGACACCCGCAGUGAGCACAGUUACAGCGAGUCAGGUGCCAGCGGCUCCUCUUUUGAGGAGCUGGACCUGGAGGGCGAGGGGCACUCGGGGGAGCCACAGCUGGACCCUGAGACUGAGCCCCUGGGGAGUACCAAGUGGCCGUGGCAGCCCAGUACCCCUGAGAAGGGCAAGGAGUAAUCUGUGGCCUGCACCCUCCUGCAGUGCCAUUGCUGAGGAACUGAGCAGACUCUCCAGCACUCUCCAGCCCUCUCCCUCCUUCUCCUGGGGGAGGAGGGGUUCCUGAGGGACCUGACUUCCCCUGUACCAGGCCUCUUGCUAAGCCUUCUCCUCACUGCUUUUUUGGCUCCCAGGGCCAAAGAAGUCAGGGACUGUUUUCUGCACCAGCCCCCAGGGCUGCUGCCCCUGUUGUGUCUUUUUUUCAGACUCACAUUGGAGCUUCCAGGACCCAGAAUAAAGCCAAUGAUUUACUUGUUUAA
RNA transcript from Callithrix jacchus (white-tufted-ear marmoset), 1399 nucleotides. It is a transcript of the gene named testis-expressed protein 264 pseudogene, with no coding region annotated. Lineage: Eukaryota; Metazoa; Chordata; Mammalia; Primates; Cebidae. The record is from RefSeq and is a predicted model, not a curated record.